Molecule: non-coding RNA, 75 nt
Organism: Microvirga aerilata
Lineage: Bacteria; Pseudomonadati; Pseudomonadota; Alphaproteobacteria; Hyphomicrobiales; Methylobacteriaceae
Source: Rfam
AUUGCAUGCCCUUCUUGGGCGUUUCCUCCCUAAACUUCGGGCCGCUGGCAACAGUGGCCUUUUUCUUUUUCCCGG